GACCUGUACGGGUGGCGAGGCGAUCGGUUGGUUGCUCCUUGGAGUCGGGUUGCCUGGGAUCGCAGCCCAAAGUUGGUGGUAGACCUCAUCUAAGGCUAAAUAUGGCCACGAAACCGAUAGCAAACAAGUACCGUGAGGGAAAGUUGCAAAGAACUUUGAAGAGAGAGUUCAAGAGGGCGUGAAACCGUUGAGAUUGAAACGGAUAGAGUUGACGGAACUCAGCUGCAUUCAUCCGAUCGGCCUAGUGGCCCGAUAGCGUUCGCAUCCUCGAUGAGGGCAACGUUAUCGGUAACUAUUGGGUAAUUGAUCGGUGUAUUUGCGGCUGGUAUGCGCUGAGAGUUUUGUGAUCGCAUGUUAACGGGUGUGCAGUGGACCAUUCCUUCCGGGCGUGGAACCCUUCACAUUUUUAGACAUGUCGAUUAUAAAGUUUUGAACGUGGCGUCUCCGCUAUUGUGCGUCGGCUUAUGCGUGCUAUCGUGAUUAUUUGAUAUUCGCAUGCGAAUGUCUGUAAUUAACGAUGAUGCGACAAAAGUGUGAGCGCGUUGAGACGUGCAUCUCGG
Molecule: ribosomal RNA, 560 nt
Filed under: Baylisascaris transfuga (bear roundworm)
Lineage: Eukaryota; Metazoa; Nematoda; Chromadorea; Rhabditida; Ascarididae
Description: eukaryotic LSU rRNA
Rfam family: Eukaryotic large subunit ribosomal RNA
Source: RNAcentral